CAAGAAGAUCUCCUUACCUUGACAGGUUUUGCCGUUGGGCGUCAGGCGAUAACCAGCUGGACAAACACACUGGUAACUCCCCAGGGUGUUCCUGCAUUCGUGCUGGCAGGUAUCUCUGGUUUCACAUUCAUCAACAUCUAUGGAGAAGAAACACAAACACAAGCACAUCCCCAUGAGGAUUAUGUGAAGCUGCUGUUGAACUGAGAUGGUUCCUGUGGCUGAAUGUGAGAAUUGGCCUAUCCUGAAAGCUGCUGUGGUUCCUGCUGGGUAUCAGAGAGAUGCUCCCUGAGAAAGAAGGUGAUCCUGUGCAACAGAGGCAAAAUGGAAAGCAGUGAGUGGCUUGCAUCGACCCUGUCGCCAUCCCUGUGAGCAGUGAUCUCUGACUGGUGAGAGAGGACUUAUGGCUGGAGGAGAAAAGGGGCAGCUUUACCUUCACGCUCACAUCAGCUACUGACUGGAGCUGCAGCAGGUGGCCGCUCACCACCACAUCCAGCAGCAAGGCUCCCUCUGAAUCCAGGCCCCGGGCAAUGGCUCGCUGCCAGGACACUGAACACAAGACACAUCAGAAGUACCAACCCACGCAAGAAGUACCUGGACAGGGCCUGCCGUGGCA
Long non-coding RNA from Pogoniulus pusillus (Red-fronted tinkerbird), 613 nucleotides. RefSeq lists it as uncharacterized. The record is from RefSeq and is a predicted model, not a curated record. Lineage: Eukaryota; Metazoa; Chordata; Aves; Piciformes; Lybiidae. The transcript is spliced from 5 exons.